UCUCAGUGAUUCAAUUCCAGUAGAGCCUCUGACCCUCCCCUGUGGACUCAGUGCCAGGGAGAUGAAGAGGAAAGAGCCCCAGAGA
Molecule: small nucleolar RNA, 85 nt
Organism: Phyllostomus discolor (pale spear-nosed bat)
Lineage: Eukaryota; Metazoa; Chordata; Mammalia; Chiroptera; Phyllostomidae
Source: RefSeq, a predicted model, not a curated record